CUCUGAGAGCUCAGACUUCACACCAAACCACACUGAGGGUAAGAAGAAUAAAGUCAACCAGUUGAGGAUUUGGCCCAUUUGUAAUCCACUCAGCAUUUCUAAUUCAAAUGAACGGCAAUGCUACAGAUUUAGGAUGACGGAUAUAGAGAGCCAAAAACCUGUGCCUGAGUAUGACCCCAGCCAUGCAGGAACAGCACCAAUGUAUGCCCCACCUCCAUACAUGCCUCCUCCUUAUCCUACGGGGCCGGUCAUGUACCCUGAACCCGUUCCUGUGCCAGUCAGCUUCAUCCCACCCAACCUGCCACCAGAAGAGACUGGCAUCAGCAAAACAGAAGAAUCGGAUCCAGACCCAGCAGCCGUAUAUCCACCUGAGGAAGGUCAGGUGUUUGUAUCAUCAUUUGAGGAUGAUACUGUUCGGAAAGCGUUUAUCAGAAAGGUGUUCAGUGUGGUAACAAUUCAGUUACUAGUCACGUUCACUGUCGUCUGUGUGUUCACCUUCUCAAACACAGUCAAGGCAGCGGUUCAGGGUAACAUCUGGGUGUACAUCAGUUCUUACAUCAUCUUUGUAGUAGUGGGCACAUGUCUUUCUGUGUUCUCCAAAUUCAGUCGCACACAUCCCUGGAACCUGCUGGGACUGUCAAUUGUUACGCUGAGUCUGUCCUACAUGGUGGGAACUGUAGCCUCAUAUCAUGACACAAGUGCUGUAAUCAUCGCUUUAGGAUCAACUCUGGUCAUCUCAUUCACCAUCAUCAUAUUCUCUGCCCAGACUCGCUUGGACUUCACAGUUUGUAAUGGUAUUCUGCUCAUACUGUCCGUCGACUUACUCAUGUUUGGAUUCUUCAGCAUCUUCUUCUACUCCAGUGUUCUGCAAAUUGUCUAUGGAUGUCUGGGAGCUCUUCUUUAUGCCUUGUUUCUGGCAGUGGACUGUCAGCUGGUGAUGGGCAGACAAACAUACAGCCUUGAUCCUGAAGAGUACAUCUAUGCUGCCUUAAUUAUCUACCUGGAUAUCAUUAUGAUAUUCCUCUACAUACUUAUGAUUUUGGGUGGAAGCUCCAAAAAUUAAAUUCACACAUGCAUAACUCCCAAUAUGCACAUGCCGGCUGAUAUUCAACCUUCUGACCUCCAAGUUUUUACAUCACUGCUGUGUUCUCUCUACUGGUUCACUGAUCACGGUACUUGUAUCAUGUUGUUUGUAUUUGUUUAAGAUGCAUUUUUGAGAUGCACAGAUCAUUUUUAGCAGAUAAACAUAUUUGUAAAUUACAAUCUUACAAAUUGCUGAUCACAAGAACCUUUUGUAAGCUUAAAUAUUAUGCCUAAUGUAAAUGCCUUAAAUGUUAUCAAUGUGAUAAACAUCCCACUGAUGUGAAUCAUGAAAUGUCCCUGUAAUGUGACUGCUUAAAUCAAUAAAUUCUGCUUAUUUCAAC
This is a long non-coding RNA of Cyprinus carpio carpio, 1424 nucleotides long. NCBI's taxonomy places the organism in Eukaryota, Metazoa, Chordata, Actinopteri, Cypriniformes, Cyprinidae. The record is from Ensembl.